CAAGUCGAGGGGCAGCAGGUCUGUAGCAAUACAGAUGCUGGCGACCGGCAAACGGGUGCGGAACACGUACAGAACCUUCCUUCGAGCGGGGAAUAGCCCGGAGAAAUCCGGAUUAAUACCCCAUAGUAAAUUGGAGAGGCAUCUCUUUGAUUUUAAAGAUUUAUCACUUGAAGAUGGCUGUGCGCCUGAUUAGGUAGUUGGCGGGGUAAUGGCCCACCAAGCCUACGAUCAGUAACUGGUGUGAGAGCACGACCAGUCACACGGGCACUGAGACACGGGCCCGACUCCUACGGGAGGCAGCAGUAAGGAAUAUUGGUCAAUGGACGAAAGUCUGAACCAGCCAUGCCGCGUGGAGGAUGAAGGCCCUCUGGGUUGUAAACUUCUUUUAUAUGGGACGAAAAAGGAUCUUUCUAGAUCAACUGACGGUACCAUGUGAAUAAGCACCGGCUAACUCCGUGCCAGCAGCCGCGGUAAUACGGAGGGUGCAAGCGUUAUCCGGAUUCAUUGGGUUUAAAGGGUGCGUAGGUGGGUUGGUAAGUCAGUGGUGAAAUCCCCGAGCUUAACUUGGGAACUGCCAUUGAUACUAUCAGUCUUGAAUACCGUGGAGGUCAGCGGAAUAUGUCAUGUAGCGGUGAAAUGCUUAGAUAUGACAUAGAACACCAAUUGCGAAGGCAGCUGGCUACACGAAUAUUGACACUGAGGCACGAAAGCGUGGGGAUCAAACAGGAUUAGAUACCCUGGUAGUCCACGCCCUAAACUAUGGAUACUCGACAUUUGCGAUACACUGCAAGUGUCUGAGCGAAAGCAUUA
This 810-nucleotide ribosomal RNA is filed under the name uncultured Flavobacteriales bacterium. RNAcentral's name for it is "bacterial SSU rRNA". It matches the Rfam family "Bacterial small subunit ribosomal RNA", at positions 58 to 862 of the family's 1533-position model. The record is from RNAcentral. Lineage: Bacteria; Pseudomonadati; Bacteroidota; Flavobacteriia; Flavobacteriales.